AGCCAGGUGAGUAAGCAAGGGAGGAGUGCUUUUGUUUUUAACCCCAUAUAUGCUGGGUUUAACCUAGGGGAACUGAUGUCAGGGCCA
Ceratotherium simum simum (southern white rhinoceros) is the source of this 87-nucleotide non-coding RNA. Lineage: Eukaryota; Metazoa; Chordata; Mammalia; Perissodactyla; Rhinocerotidae. The record is from RefSeq and is a predicted model, not a curated record.